UUAUUCAGGGCAUGAGGUGGGCACAUGACCAAUAUAUUCAUAGUUGGACAGUAUUUCCCAUCCCAUGCAUGAAGCUAGUAAAGACAUGGAGAGGUACUUUAGCCUAAGUGAAGCUUUACCUUAAGUGGACAAAAGUACUUUUUUGCAGAUCAGAGCUGCUGUUAGACUUUAUAGACUAACCAUCACUGCUUCCAACAAACAAUAGGUUUUCUACUUUCAUGCCAAUAUUGAAGUUUUUAUCUGAUCAAGUUUUUAUCUGAUCAAGUGUUUACAUAAAUGCUGUCACCACUGUCACCUGAUUGUUCUGCACGCCUAAUUUAAUAUAUAUAACCUAUACCUUACUGAUAACUGCACAGUAUUGUAUUUUUCCUCUCUUUUAUUGUAAAUCCCUUUCAGCCUUUUUGUGAUUGUUUUUUGCACUUUGUUUCUUAUAGCUUUUAGUUUGGGUAAGUUUUCUACUUUUUUAGAUAAAUAUGAACCUGUGUACUUUCAUUGCCUUAUUGGUUUGGUGCUGACACACUCAAAUGUUCCUAUUGUGGAACAAUAAAGGUUUUCUAUUCUAAUUAAUUGAGAGAGAUAACCAUGACUUCUGAGAUCACGCAUAACCAAGUUACUGUUUGAAAAUGUAAUCUACAUUAUACUUUCAAAGAAGAAUAAACACUUCUGAUUUGGAAAAUUAACUUUAUGUUAUAAAUCACCACAGGCAAAAUAUGGCAUACUUAACCAUCUAAGAACUUGUAACAAAGAACAUUAAAAUAGAACCUAUUUCUGGUCAGGAAUAUCAAACCAUGGCAAAAUGUAUUUGCCUUUUGAUCUGGGCUUCUCAGAAAUUUUCCCCCAAAAUGUGUUGAUUCACAGCAUUCAGUCUGCUGUGUAUAACGCUGCAUGUGGUUGUAUUGUCUUCUUUUCAGACACAGUCUUCACUAUAUUUGCCAGGUCAUCAUAAAGCUCCCACACACAUGGAGCUCUUCGGCAGUAUGCAAUGUAAUGUCCCAGACCAUCUUUAGUCAAGCUUCCCUUGAAAGCGAUGACUCCUCUCAAAGAGAAUGUCUUUCCUUGGAGAGCAACAGUGGGGGGAAAUUCACUCAAAGGAAACUGAGUUGUGUUUGCAAGUGGGCGAAGGCAGGGAGACUCCGGAAGGAAGAGUCCAUUUUCCACUGAAAUGUCAAGCUGAGCCAUGCCACAGUCCAUCAGCACAGAAAUGUCAGGAGAAACAAAUGUGGCUGAGCUUGCUGUGAGGUUGGUGCUUUUGAAGAGGGGGACCAUUACUCCUGUCCAAAGUGGCAGUCCCACUGACAGAUCAUCUUUAUGCAGUGUGCCACAUCAACCCUGAUAAAACAAGGAGGAAGUUUUGCAGACUGGUUCCCAAGUAGCAAACGGAAGCAUUCGUUAAUGUAUGUCUUCAGAUUGGGGUAAGGAGUGAAGGCCUUCACCAGAGCACCAAGAAUAGCCAGAGAAAAGUCACUCACGGCUUCCUUUGGUAUAGCAGCACCUGUACGAAGCCAUUCUGUCAGCCAUGUUGCAAUUGCAUUAAUGUCGUGUCUCUCUGACAGCAUUUGCACAACUGGGACUGAGCAGUUGUCCCCUGUCAGAACGCCUUGAUAUAAGAAGAUGUGGCCAGAUGUACCAUUUGGUCUCACCAGUCUUCUCACAACUGAGCCAGUUGCGUCAAAGCAAACUACUGAGGGGCAUUUUUUGGACAAUGCCUUAUACACAUGUAGCUGUGUUUGACUCCAAUAGUGGCAGAAGAACUUGUCUAGACCAAUGUCUCUUAUACUACCACUGUGAGGUGUGCUAUAUUUGAAUAACUGCAAAGACAAAAUGGGAUCUUUGUCACCUAAUUCCAAAUCUCUUCUCUCCUGCUUAGCUUUUCGUAUGGUGGCCAAAUUUGGAAGGUGACUUGGCUCAGCAUCUCCAAUAUCCAUCAAAUCUGAUGCCUUCGCUGACCUCCAUACAGCCGGCUCCAUCCUGCCCUCACACAGUUCUUUUGAAAUCUGUGCACGAAGGUUUCCAGACAUGAACCUCUUGGAUUGCCCAGUGUGCAGGGAGAUAUCAGUGUCUUCGAUGGAACACUGAAGCAGCAUUGGGCUGUUUACCGUUGGCUCUCUAGCACAAGUCAUUUUAAUAUGGCCUUGACACUCUUUACAUAAGCCUUUGAUAUCUAUGUAGUUGCUUGUGACAGUUGGAUAAACCUUUGCUCUCUGGAACACAAAUGUACAUGUGCUUUUGAUCUUUUUCCAAAUCAGAUGGUUAAUUACAUGACUCCAAGUGCCAGGCUUCAAAAUCAUAUAUUCCCUUUUGCCAGAUGAUGAAAACUUGUCAUUAUAUUCCACUUUCUCAGGUACAAAUUUGAUCCAUUCCUCAAAAGGAACUUCAAGCUGAAAACCUGAGCAGUCGUCUUGUCCAGGAGAAAUGGAGCCAGAGUCAAACUCUGUGUCCACACUGCUCUCACGAUCACUUUCCUGCUCACUGAUCUCCAAACAUGACCAGAUGUUGUGUCUGUUUGACUUUAUAAAAGUGUACAGGGCUUUUGGAGACAUCUUGUUUUCCAGCUGCUGACUUAAUACUGUCCAAAUAGUGGCAGCUGGAGUGGCUAUUUUGCCAUUAAGAAGGAUAGCCUCUUUGGAAGUGCAGAGAACUGCAAUAAGGGAAUCCCUGUCUAUUGAUGGCUGUCGAGGCAUCUAGUUAAAGAACGAAAAGGCUUUGAUUAGCAUUAAUCAAAAUAUUAUUCUGGCCUAUAUAAUCUCCCAAAGCCACAAAACAUUGAUAUUUCAGCAUUCUAUCACAACUCAAAAACUCAGUUUAAAUUGUUCUCUCAAAUCUGUAAGCCAUUUAUGCAGUGUUGUAAUUAUAGUAU
Molecule: long non-coding RNA, 2857 nt
Organism: Girardinichthys multiradiatus
Lineage: Eukaryota; Metazoa; Chordata; Actinopteri; Cyprinodontiformes; Goodeidae
Exons: 4
Source: RefSeq, a predicted model, not a curated record